Non-coding RNA from Anarrhichthys ocellatus (wolf-eel), 508 nucleotides. The record is from the annotation of a RefSeq genome assembly. Lineage: Eukaryota; Metazoa; Chordata; Actinopteri; Perciformes; Anarhichadidae.
AUGACAUCUCCAAAGUUUGUCUUCUAUCUGACAUGUUUGUUCUUGGAGAAAAUGGUUCAGACGACCGAUCUGAAUUUCUCCUCAUCUGUUCAUCAAGAGAAUAGUUUUCUAUCGGUUCAAACUGGGGAAAACUUGACAUUGCAAUGUUCCUAUGAAGACGUUUUUGCAGUAAAGCUUUACUGGUUUAAACAGAUUAUUGGACAGAAACCACGGUAUAUCUCUACCUUCUACAAGUACGACACAAAGGCAACUUUUCAUGCUGAAUUCAAGAAUCCACGCUUCACAUUGGACGCUGCAUUCGGUAAAUAUCACUUGAGGAUAACAGAUCUGCAAAUUUCGGACACAGCUACUUACUACUGCGCAAGUAGCUAUACAGUCGACUUGGAUUUCAAGGGGGGGACUUUUGUCAGUGUAAAGGGUUCUGGUUUGAACGUCCCAACUUUGGUCCAUCAGUCAGCAUCUGAGACCAUCCAGCCAGGAGGCUCUGUGACUCUGAACUGUACAGUUC